UGUAUAUGGUGUAAGACACUGA
This 22-nucleotide small nuclear RNA is filed under the name Arabidopsis thaliana (thale cress). RNAcentral describes it as "snRNA_03137". Lineage: Eukaryota; Viridiplantae; Streptophyta; Magnoliopsida; Brassicales; Brassicaceae. The record is from RNAcentral.